GGCCAAUCGUGCAUUCCCACUGCGGAAGAGCAGACACUUGGGGGGAACUUGAAGAAUGUUUGUGGGGAGCCCAGGCAGAGGCUUCCCCUGGUGGCUGCAGAAGCUGCAGAGAGAGGCUCAACAACCCAAACUAGCCGGGAUAAUGUCCAGCAUCCCAGCUUCACGUCUCCACCUUGGGGUAAUCUGUC
RNAcentral lists this long non-coding RNA (188 nucleotides) under Chinchilla lanigera (long-tailed chinchilla). RNAcentral's name for it is "lncRNA (ENSCLAG00000026037.1)". The record is from RNAcentral. Lineage: Eukaryota; Metazoa; Chordata; Mammalia; Rodentia; Chinchillidae.